This 482-nucleotide ribosomal RNA is filed under the name uncultured bacterium. RNAcentral's name for it is "partial 16S ribosomal RNA". It matches the Rfam family "Bacterial small subunit ribosomal RNA", at positions 28 to 507 of the family's 1533-position model. The record is from RNAcentral.
GAUGAACGCUAGCGGCAGGCCUAAUACAUGCAAGUCGGACGGGAUUCCGGAGCUUGCUUCUGAUGAGAGUGGCGCACGGGUGCGUAACACGUAUGUAACCUACCUUUAUCAGGGGGAUAGCCUCUCGAAAGAGAGAUUAAGCCCGCAUAAAAUCACAGCACAGCAAUGUGUAAUGAUCAAAUAUUUAUGGGAUAAAGAUGGGCAUGCGGAACAUUAGCUAGAUGGCGGGGUAACGGCCCACCAAGGCGACGAUGGUGAGGGGAUCGGAGGAGAAGGCACCCCACACUGGUACUGCGGCACGGACCAGACUGGUACGGGAGGGAGCAGUAAGGAAUAUUGGGCGAUGGGGGCAAGCCCGAACCAGCCAUGCCGGGUGCAGGAAGACGGCGCUACGGGUGGUAAUCUGUUUGGAUACGAGAAUAAACCCAGAUACGUGUAUCUGGCUGACUGUACUGGAAGAAUAAGGAUCGGCUAACUCCGUG